GACGAACGCUGGCGGCGUGCCUAAUACAUGCAAGUCGAGCGAACAGACGAGGAGUUUGCUCCUCUGACGUUAGCGGCGGACGGGUGAGUAACACGUGGAUAACCUACCUAUAAGACUGGGAUAACUUCGGGAAACCGGAGCUAAUACCGGAUAAUAUAUUGAACCGCAUGGUUCAAUAGUGAAAGACGGUUUUGCUGUCACUUAUAGAUGGAUCCGCGCCGCAUUAGCUAGUUGGUAAGGUAACGGCUUACCAAGGCAACGAUGCGUAGCCGACCUGAGAGGGUGAUCGGCCACACUGGAACUGAGACACGGUCCAGACUCCUACGGGAGGCAGCAGUAGGGAAUCUUCCGCAAUGGGCGAAAGCCUGACGGAGCAACGCCGCGUGAGUGAUGAAGGUCUUCGGAUCGUAAAACUCUGUUAUUAGGGAAGAACAAAUGUGUAAGUAACUAUGCACGUCUUGACGGUACCUAAUCAGAAGGCCACGGCUAACUACGUG
Molecule: ribosomal RNA, 497 nt
Filed under: uncultured bacterium
Lineage: Bacteria
Description: partial 16S ribosomal RNA
Rfam family: Bacterial small subunit ribosomal RNA
Source: RNAcentral